This 252-nucleotide unclassified non-coding RNA is filed under the name Hevea brasiliensis (rubber tree). The record is from RNAcentral. Lineage: Eukaryota; Viridiplantae; Streptophyta; Magnoliopsida; Malpighiales; Euphorbiaceae.
GGGGCUUUUUUUCAUCCUUAUCAUUUUUUAUUUGCUGAUUAAUCAGCUAUUCAAAUUUACUAUUGUACUAAUGAACAACAUAAACAAAAGCCCCCCAAAAACAGGAAGAGCCAAAAAAGCAACAAAAACCGUUAAAACUAACGGAGAAUUGCUGACAUUGCAAAGGGAAAUUUCCUUUUUUUUUUCUCUAAUUGUAAGAUAAAUAAAAUAGUUGGGCUAGGUGGGGCAGCAAAGGAUCUAAUCGGAGCUGCU